CGGCUUCCCCCAAAGAUUAUCGGCGGACGGGUGAGUAACACGUGGGCAACCUGCCUGUAAGACUGGGAUAACUUCGGGAAACCGGAGCUAAUACCGGAUAAUCCCUUUCCUCACAUGAGGAAAGGCUGAAAGACGGUUUCGGCUGUCACUUACAGAUGGGCCCGCGGCGCAUUAACUAGUUGGUGAGGUAACGGCUCACCAAGGCCACGAUGCGUAGCCGACCUGAGAGGGUGAUCGGCCACACUGGGACUGAGACACGGCCCAAACUCCUACGGGAGGCAGCAGUAGGGAAUCUUCCGCAAUGGACGAAAGUCUGACGGAACAACGCCGCGUGAGUGAUGAAGGUUUUCGGAUCGUAAAACUCUGUUGUUAAGGAAGAACAAGUAUCGGAGUAACUGCCGGUACCUUGACGGUACCUAACCAGAAAGCCACGGCUAACUACGUGCCAGCAGCCUCGGUAAUACGUAGGGUGGCAAGCGUUGUCCGGAAUUAUGGGCGUAAAGCGCGGCCAGGUUGGUUCCUUUUAAUUUUGAUGUUAAAUCCCACCGCUUCACCCUUGAGGGUUAUUUGAAAACUUGGGAUAUUUUGUUUGGC
Molecule: ribosomal RNA, 594 nt
Filed under: Cytobacillus eiseniae
Lineage: Bacteria; Bacillati; Bacillota; Bacilli; Caryophanales; Bacillaceae
Description: bacterial SSU rRNA
Rfam family: Bacterial small subunit ribosomal RNA
Source: RNAcentral